AUGAACGCUGGCGGCGUGCCUAAUACAUGCAAGUCGAGCGAACGGACGAGAAGCUUGCUUCUCUGAUGUUAGCGGCGGACGGGUGAGUAACACGUGGAUAACCUACCUAUAAGACUGGGAUAACUUCGGGAAACCGGAGCUAAUACCGGAUGAUAUUUUGAACCGCAUGGUUCAAAAGUGAAAGACGGUCUUGCUGUCACUUAUAGAUGGAUCCGCGCUGCAUUAGCUAGUUGGUAAGGUAACGGCUUACCAAGGCAACGAUGCAUAGCCGACCUGAGAGGGUGAUCGGCCACACUGGAACUGAGACACGGUCCAGACUCCUACGGGAGGCAGCAGUAGGGAAUCUUCCGCAAUGGGCGAAAGCCUGGCGGAGCAACGCCGCGUGAGUGAUGAAGGUCUUCGGAUCGUAAAACUCUGUUAUUAGGGAAGAACAUAUGUGUAAGUAACUGUGCACAUCUUGACGGUACCUAAUCAGAAAGCCACGGCUAACUACGUG
This 496-nucleotide ribosomal RNA is filed under the name uncultured bacterium. RNAcentral's name for it is "partial 16S ribosomal RNA". It matches the Rfam family "Bacterial small subunit ribosomal RNA", at positions 29 to 507 of the family's 1533-position model. The record is from RNAcentral.